GACGAACGCUGGCGGCGUGCCUAAUACAUGCAAGUUGAGCGCUGAAGGUUGGUACUUGUACCAACUGGAUGAGCAGCGAACGGGUGAGUAACGCGUGGGGAAUCUGCCUUUGAGCGGGGGACAACAUUUGGAAACGAAUGCUAAUACCGCAUAAAAACUUUAAACACAAGUUUUAAGUUUGAAAGAUGCAAUUGCAUCACUCAAAGAUGAUCCCGCGUUGUAUUAGCUAGUUGGUGAGGUAAAGGCUCACCAAGGCGAUGAUACAUAGCCGACCUGAGAGGGUGAUCGGCCACAUUGGGACUGAGACACGGCCCAAACUCCUACGGGAGGCAGCAGUAGGGGAUCUUCGGCAAUAGACGAAAGUCUGACCGAGCAACGCCGCGUGAGUGAAGAAGGUUUUCGGAUCGUAAAACUCUGUUGGUAGAGAAGAACGUUGGUGAGAGUGGAAAGCUCAUCAAGUGACGGUAACUACCCAGAAAGGGACGGCUAACUACGUG
Molecule: ribosomal RNA, 497 nt
Filed under: uncultured bacterium
Lineage: Bacteria
Description: partial 16S ribosomal RNA
Rfam family: Bacterial small subunit ribosomal RNA
Source: RNAcentral